Molecule: ribosomal RNA, 469 nt
Filed under: uncultured bacterium
Lineage: Bacteria
Description: partial 16S ribosomal RNA
Rfam family: Bacterial small subunit ribosomal RNA
Source: RNAcentral
GAUGAACGCUGGCGGCGCGCCUAACACAUGCAAGUCGAACGGUUAAAGCACCUUUUAGGUGUGUAUAAAGUGGCGAACGGCUGAGUAACACGUGGGCAACCUGCCCUCCUCUUGGGGAUAGCCUCGUGAAACCGAGGAUAAUACCCGAUACUUCAAUGUGGCCGCAUGACGACAUUGAGAAAGCUUUUGCGGAGAAGGAUGGGCCCGCGGCCUGUUAGCUUGUUGGUGGGGUAGAGGCCUACCAAGGCAAUGAUGGGUAGCGGGGUUGAGAGACCGACCAGCCAGAUUGGGACUGAGACACGGCCAAGACUCCUACGGGAGGCAGCAGUGGGGAAUCUUGCACAAUGGGCGAAAGCCUGAUGCAGCGACGCCGCGUGCGGGACGAAGGCCUUCGGGUUGUAAACCGCUUUCAGCAGGGACGAGGCGAUAAGUGACGGUACCUGCAGAAGAAGCCCCGGCUAACUACGUG